This is a non-coding RNA of Manis javanica (Malayan pangolin), 5055 nucleotides long. Lineage: Eukaryota; Metazoa; Chordata; Mammalia; Pholidota; Manidae. The record is from RefSeq and is a predicted model, not a curated record.
GUCGGGUCCUAAGACUGGCGAUCCCAGCCUGCUCUGCCUCCAUCCGCGGUUGGGCACCCGCCUGCAGCUCCUCCCGGUGGCCCUGGAGUGACAGGUGCACAGCGCCUGCGCCUGGGCAGAGAGGACUGGUUCUGAGUGUAGGGAGCGUGGCUGAGGUGAUAGCCGGGUCACAACGUGGAAACGAUGGCCUCUGGACCUAAACGUUGCUCCUGAAGAGCAUUGGGAUUGAUCUAUGGGGAGCGCCCUGGGAAUGAACACCCGGGUAUUAAACCUCAGUGAGAGGAGAGACGGGCAGGACCUCAGAGUCCGCAAUCGCGCCCUGAAGAGAUUGGAUCACAGGGGCAUUCUCAGACCUCCAAAAAGGGAAAGCCGGGGGCUUGAGAGAGACUGGCAAGGCAAUGAGUUGGGGACUUGACAUCAGAAGGCGUGGCUGGGUGCACAAAUCUGGGAUGGUACCCACGCCUUCACCUGCUGGAGAUCAUGUAUCUUGUGUACCAGUGGAGCUCUAGACACCUACAGGAAAGACCUUGUCAUUUUCAGCAGUGUGCAAACAAUCUGGAUGUCCACCCAGUGGGGAAACUGCAGGGCUACACGGAUCCUGUCCUAGUAGAAGACUGAAUUGGACACGGGGCCUCUGUCUGGGCUUCCCUGAUUCUCAUGUCUUCCCCCUGUCAGCGGAAUCCAGUGGAAUCUUCUCUUGUUGGUCGCCUGUAUGCACUCCCUCACCUUUCUGCCUUUAGAGUAAAACUGCAAGACCUGUGGCACCUACUGGGAUCCAACUGCAGAGACCAUGCCACAUCUAUGCACCUGGGUGUCCCUAUGCAGCACGGUACUUCUGCUUGGCUAUGCUGGACAGCGCCACUCCUGAAAGGCCGCUUAGCUGUCUGUCUUACCCGGGAAGCUGUCUAGAACCUCUUGGAAGAGGUGCUAGAUGGCCAGGUGAAGCCUUGGAUGCUUGUCUCAGUACUUUGAACUUCUCCUCUGGGCCAGGGAGCAUUCUGGGAAUGCUAAUUAUUAUUAUUAUUUUCCUAAUAAAUCCAUGGAAGGUUAUUGAAUAGAUGAGUGGCAAGUAUGGAGCAAGUGGACCCAUGCACUGGAGAUUGCACAGGCUCCCUUGUGUAUACCCCUUUCCUGUGGGAAACUGACCUGAAUGAAGAGGUAAGGGCAAGUUUUGCAUUGAUAUCCUGGCUUGGCUGCCUUCAGCCCAACUUUCAGGGAACAGAGUCUUGGUUAGUUGUGACUAGAUUUGUGGCUUGGUUAGAUUUCCAAAUCCAUCCUGCAUCCCAGCUUUCCAGCACAGCUCUCUCCACUUAUUUCCUCAUUCAUUGGUCUAGGGCAAGCUAUAUUGACUUGCCUAUGAGUCAGGACUUUAUCCUUGACCAAGAUGUAUGUGAGGCGUUACAUGGUACAAAGCAAUGCAGCAGAGUGUGUAUAAAGGAGGAGUGGACAAACAGUGAUUGGCAUUUCUGCAGAGGCCUGUGGUAGACUGUACCAGAGUAGUUCCAAAUAUAUACUGUCCUUCCUACUGCACUCCUCAUUAAGAGGGUUAUACAUUCACGCUCCAUUUACAAUAGGCUUGGCUAUAUAACUUGCUUUGACCAAUGGAAUAUGGUCAUUUCCAAAUAGAAGAUUGAUGCUCCAGUGAGUAGUUUGGCAGCUUCCCUUCUCUUUUCCUUCUGCCAUGAGCCUGGCAAUUGCCAGAUCAAGACUUCCUCAGCCUAGAACCCAGAAUUAAGAUGAUACGAAACUGAGCUGCAGCCUACCUACAAAAUGAUGUGUGUAAUCUAAGUGAGAAAUAGACUUCUCUUGCUGUGAGCCACUGAUAUUUGGAUGUUGGCUGACACCACAUCAUAUGUCUGAACCAGCUAUUACAGAACUAGUACCUAGAAGCAGGGUGCUGCUACAAUAAAAAAUAAACCUGCAUUAUGAGGCAUUGACUUUGGAGCAGUGGCUGGUGAGGAAACCAUCAUUGGAAGUUGGAAAGAUGGUGAUGUAUGCUAUGCAGUGGUAAAGCAUCUGGUUAAACUGUAAGCUGGAAAUAACUAAAAAUAUAAAUAAUGUCCAUGUAAGCUUGGGGCUUUAGGCAGAAAGUUGGGGGAAGAGAAUAUUAGUAGCAUGCCUUGGUUGCUAUUGAAUACAUUUGAUGAGUCACUGUAAGAAAGAGAUAACUUCAAUAACCAAAAUAUACAAAAAAUAAACAAAUUAACGAUAUUAAGUUACAAAAAAAGAAAGAGAUAACUCAGAAAAUAAUUGGCCAGUUUUUAAGCUGAAAUUGAAGAGAAUAUAGAAACUCCAUGCAAGUGAUCCACAUUUUUAAUCAGUGAAAGAUAUACUAACAAGGCCGUUAAACCACAAAGUGUGAUUAAAACUCACCUUUGUGUAAGGGUCAUAUCAAGUGUAUGGCUCUCAGGCCUUUUGUAAAAACCUCUGAAUUGGUCAUAAUGGUUCCUAAUAAAUCCUUUCAGUUAGUCAAGAUGAUUCAGAGAAAAGAUUAAGAGCAUAACUCUUCCAGAGGAGUUAGUAGGCUCCAUUUGCCUAUAAUUAAGUCUAAAGAGAGAUGCUUAUCUGAAAAGAAUUGUGGGUUUGUCUGUUGGCCCACAGAAUUGACUGGAAUCAAAUAUAUAAGCAACUUUCCCCACCAAAAAAACCAAAACAAAACAGCCAUUAGCUUGGAUUUUUAAAAGACCAGGAUUGUUCAAGACUUAACAUGACCUUGAGGGCUUCCAAAUUUUCAGGGGUAUGAAGAAGACUGAGAAAGCUGCUCCACCACAAAGGCAUAACCUCCAAUGUGGCCAAGGAGAAUACAUGGAAAAGGGUGGGCUAUUCUAAGGGCAGAGCCAAGGAUACGGAGAAGAAUGAACUAGGAAACUAGUCCCAGGAAGCAGUUGCACUCCCAGGGAAAGGUAGGGGGCCUUCUCAACAUCUGCCAGCAAAAUUCUAGAAUUGCUGUGGACCAGUAAGUGCUGUGUAUCUCUCAUUCUUCCUUCUGAAUGGGAGUGUUUACUGCUAUCAUCCUGUCCCUGUUCUGUUUCAUAUGUUGGGGGUAGGAGGUGAACUAACUUUAUUAUUAUUAUUAUUAUUUUGGUUCAUAGGCCUCUGGAUCAAGAGAAGCCAUCUCUGGAUCUGAUAUACACACUAUUAGAUGGAAAAUUCCAGAUUGAGGUUGUUGCUUCAGACUGGGUUCUAGAAUGAAGAUGAUGUAGAACACUACCCUACGGAGGACAUGGACUGUCUAGUGAGCCUUCAUGAUUCUUGCUGACUCUUAGCAACUAAGUGGGAGCUGCUCAUGUGAAGUAGAAAAACAUCCAGACUUUCUAGCAUCAACUAGAUGGUAUCUAGUAAAUGUCAAUCUCACAUACAUCCUAAGACCACAACGGCACCAUUACAAAGGGAUUGUUCAAAAGGAAGAAAGAGAAACUAAAGCCCAAAUUUACCUUAAUUGUAUGGAUAUCUACCCUUCCAAGAAGUCCCAACAUAAUGGACAAUAAAAAUAAAUUCUGUAUUAGUUUGUGUAUGGGUACAACUGCAUGAAACAGAAACCCAAACUAACCAGGGCUUAACCAAGAGAGAAGUUUAUUUCUCUCCUAUAGAAAAGCCCAAAUUAUGGUGGGCUUUUACAUGAAGUCAUCAGGCCCAUGAAUAAUAAAAAAAUUAAUUAUUUUAUCUUGUUGCUGUUGCAUCCCUGGAGUACUGCCCUCAUCCACCUGGUCCAAGAUGGUCCACCAUCACCUCCACAGCCUAGCCCUUGUGAAACAGAAAAGUGAAGGGAAUGGCUUGCCCUUAACCCUAAAUUGUAGAAGUUGUACAGGUAAUUUCUGCUCUAAUCCUAUUGACCAGAAUGUAGUCACAUGGCCACAUCCAGCUGAAAGGGAUGCUGAGAAAUACAAUCUUUACCCUGGGCAACUUUUUGCCCAGAUUAAAGUUCUAGGGAAACUAGAGACCUAGGCUUAGCAGUCUCACUCUGGAAGAACAAAUAUAUUGGGGGAUCACCAGCAGUUGCAACCAUACACUAUGAGUGUUAACCCAUCCCAACUGUAUUAGUUUCCUAUUACUCCUGUCACAAAUUACUACAAACUUAGUGGGUUAAAGCUACACACAUCUAUUCUUUUACAGUUCUGGAGACCAGAAACCCAAAAUCAGUUUCACUGGACUAAAAUCAAGGAGUUGGCAGGGCUGCUUCCUUCUGGAGGAACUGCUUGCUUUUUUCAGCUUCUAAUGGAUGCCUGCAUUCAUUUGCUAAUGGAUCCAUCCUCCAUUUCAAAGCACAUCAUUCCAAUCUCAGCUUCCAUCAUCACAUCACCUCUGACUCUGACCUUCCCAUCUCCCUCUUAAGAGGACCCUUGUGAUUACCUUGGGCCCACCCAAAUACUCCAGGAUAAUCUCCUAUUUUAUGAUCCUUAAUUACAUCUGCAAAGUCCUUUUUGCCAUAUAAAGUAAUAUUCUCAGGUUCUAGGAAUUAGGAUGUAGAUAUAUUUAGGGAGCCAUUGUUCAUCUUACUAUACCACUCUGUUCCAUAUUUGACUCCAUUCAUUUACUCAUAAAAUAAUUACUGAGCAAGACUUAUGUACCAGGCAUUAUGGCAGGUUCUGGAAAAAUAGAGGUGAAAAUACAGGCAAGAUCUCUGCUUUCAUGGAGUUUAUAUUUUAGUGAAGAGAACAAGUAAGGAAAUUGCUAAGAUAUUCCUAAACCAUGACAUGUAUUACUAAAAAGCUAAGCAGCAUGAUGUGACAAAAAAUGACGAGGGUUGGUGAUAACUGUAUAAUGGGUAGUCAGGAUUGGCUUUUUAGGGAAGGUGACUAAUCCAAAGGGUAGAACUGAGUGCUCAAGGACAGAACAGGGGCAUGAAGUAUUAUUUCUUAAGCCUGCGUACCUAAGGGAAUUGGUUCAGCCAGAUUUUGAGAUUUCUUAGGAUCAGUGACUCCUUUUAACCUUCCAUUUUCCCUCUUUUUGAAUCAGAAUGUCUAUAACUAUUCUCCUAUGUAUGUCCCACCACUGCAUGUUGGGAGUGCAUGACUUGUUCCUUUAGUUUCAUAGGUUCACAGAUGGGAGGAACUG